Hemicordylus capensis (graceful crag lizard) is the source of this 1351-nucleotide RNA transcript. It is a transcript of the gene named RNA polymerase II subunit G, with no coding region annotated. The record is from RefSeq and is a predicted model, not a curated record. The transcript is spliced from 8 exons. Lineage: Eukaryota; Metazoa; Chordata; Lepidosauria; Squamata; Cordylidae.
AGGCAGGACGGCCAGUGCAUGGCCGCAGCACCUGCUGAGGAAGGGCCGCCCCAGGUCAGGAGGCUGGUCUUUCGCCACAGUGUCCCUUCUUUUGGGCGGGUGGACGGAGAAACAGGCAAUCUUAUUCUGGAGGGGGAGAGGGAGGGGGAGAGACCCCCCCGCCCAAGAGGCUGCAGGGGCUAAGCCCCCCCCCCCAACCUCCCUCUUGGCGCUCGGCAAGCUUCCGUCCCACACUGACUGGGCCUGCUGCAGGAGCCCGGAGGUCGGGAGGCCUGCGUGAGUCUAGGCCGUGCCCGCGUCUAUGAAACCUGGGCGGCCCUCCAGCAGCCAAUCAGGAGGCCUGCGUGAGUCUAGGCCGUGCCCGCGUCUAUGGAACCCGGGCGGCCCUCCAGCAGCCAAUCAGGAAGGCGCUGGCUUGCAACAUUCGGAGAGCGCCUUCACCGUGCCUGUCUCCGCGUUCCUUCCGGCCGGGCAGGCGGAGGAGGCAGCGAGGAGGAUGUUUUACCACAUCUCCCUCGAACACGAGAUCCUCCUCCACCCGCGGUAUUUUGGGCCCAACCUGCUGAACACCGUGAAGCAAAAGCUGUUCACCGAGGUGGAAGGGACCUGCACAGGGAAGUAUGGCUUUGUCAUUGCGGUCACCACCAUCGACAACAUUGGGGCGGGUGUCAUCCAGCCCGGGCGCGGCUUCGUCCUGUACCCGGUCAAGUACAAAGCCAUCGUCUUCCGGCCCUUCAAAGGAGAGGUGGUGGACGCCGUGGUGACUCAGGUGAACAAGGUCGGACUCUUCACGGAAAUCGGGCCCAUGUCCUGCUUCAUUUCCCGACACUCCAUCCCCUCCGAAAUGGAAUUUGACCCCAACUCGAAUCCCCCCUGCUACAAGACAGUCGAUGAGACUCCUGGGAUGUUGACUCUGCCACCCAAUCCCAACAGGAUAUUGUCAUUCAGCAAGAUGACGAAAUUCGGCUGAAGAUCGUGGGGACCCGAGUGGACAAGAGCGACAUUUUUGCUAUUGGGUCGCUCAUGGAUGACUACCUUGGCCUCGUCAGCUGAAUCUCCUCCGCGUCCGGCUCGCCCUUCCCCGGACUCUCCACCACCGAGCCUGGCCUCUGGAUCUCGGGCGCUGGCUUUCUCUCCUGAGCCACAGCAGCCGGGCAGCGCGGGUGGGACCGGGCCCGCUCUGGGUCUCCAGUUCAAGUCUUCUGGGCUGACGCUCUGCUUGGCGGCUCUCUUGUGCUUCUCGCCUUUCUCCUUUUCUUUCUUGAGCAUCUUUGUCUCUGGGCAGUCUUACCAGAAAGCCACAUGGUUGCAAAACAAAGUUCAAACAUUAAAACAAUGAUAGAUUCUGUAA